This 709-nucleotide ribosomal RNA is filed under the name Staphylococcus warneri. RNAcentral describes it as "bacterial SSU rRNA". It matches the Rfam family "Bacterial small subunit ribosomal RNA", at positions 89 to 784 of the family's 1533-position model. Lineage: Bacteria; Bacillati; Bacillota; Bacilli; Caryophanales; Staphylococcaceae. The record is from RNAcentral.
ACGUUAGCGGCGGACGGGUGAGUAACACGUGGAUAACCUACCUAUAAGACUGGGAUAACUUCGGGAAACCGGAGCUAAUACCGGAUAACAUAUUGAACCGCAUGGUUCAAUAGUGAAAGGCGGCUUUGCUGUCACUUAUAGAUGGAUCCGCGCCGUAUUAGCUAGUUGGUAAGGUAACGGCUUACCAAGGCAACGAUACGUAGCCGACCUGAGAGGGUGAUCGGCCACACUGGAACUGAGACACGGUCCAGACUCCUACGGGAGGCAGCAGUAGGGAAUCUUCCGCAAUGGGCGAAAGCCUGACGGAGCAACGCCGCGUGAGUGAUGAAGGUCUUCGGAUCGUAAAACUCUGUUAUCAGGGAAGAACAAAUGUGUAAGUAACUGUGCACAUCUUGACGGUACCUGAUCAGAAAGCCACGGCUAACUACGUGCCAGCAGCCGCGGUAAUACGUAGGUGGCAAGCGUUAUCCGGAAUUAUUGGGCGUAAAGCGCGCGUAGGCGGUUUUUUAAGUCUGAUGUGAAAGCCCACGGCUCAACCGUGGAGGGUCAUUGGAAACUGGAAAACUUGAGUGCAGAAGAGGAAAGUGGAAUUCCAUGUGUAGCGGUGAAAUGCGCAGAGAUAUGGAGGAACACCAGUGGCGAAGGCGACUUUCUGGUCUGUAACUGACGCUGAUGUGCGAAAAGCGUGGGGAUCAAACAGGAUUAGAUA